Molecule: long non-coding RNA, 1071 nt
Organism: Cotesia glomerata
Lineage: Eukaryota; Metazoa; Arthropoda; Insecta; Hymenoptera; Braconidae
Exons: 3
Source: RefSeq, a predicted model, not a curated record
AAUAAUUCUUACUUUUAUACCCGGGUAUUUCCUAGAGUUCUCAGUUUUUCCGAUUUCUGGGUACUCACCACUAAAUUUUCCACACAAUUCACUUCACUCAAUUCACUUAUCUGGGCGACAACCACGUUGGGCGCCAAUUUUUCUGUUACGUGUGAGCCUACACCUGGUUAUUUACCUGUCACGUAAACAGACCUCCGGACUAGCUCAGCGUCUCACUGAAAAAUAUUUAGAUGUUGAUAAAAGGGUGGGUCGCGCAGUGAAUGAAGAAUACUCAUGAAUUACGGUACUAAUUGUUUAUUGGGCGUCCCCAAGGCAUGGGAGUUGCCCGAAAUGGCCCUGAGAGUCUCUUUUACAAACUAAUUCUAUUUAUGAAAGCAAAUCUAAUCCAGUACAAUAAUCCAUUUGAUGCAAUACUUUUGAUUCUAUAACUGAGAGAGAGAUGGGACAGCAACGAGAAUGAGAGUCUUAGGAGACAAUUAAUCACGAUGCAAGACAACUCGGACUCGACAUAGAUUCGGACAGACUAAACGACUGACUGAUUACAAGAGGCCGCUCCUCCUGAAGGUCCCAGGUUUAUGUAACCUCGGUCGCGGAUGCCGCCAAACACCUGUAUCACUGCGCGGAACUUGUAUUAUUCCGCGGUUGAACUCAGAUUAUUCCGCCCUGAGGAACUAGGUGGUUAUUGUCAAGUUCCCUAGUCAGCAGAAAAUGGUAUCAAGGCGCCGAAAGCGGUUCCCUGUGCUAGAGUACCUGUUCGCUCGGUUCCCAUGAGAAAGCGUCUCCUCAGCAACACGUGCAAGCAGCGAUUCUCGGUAACCAGAGUCAGGCUAGAAAUACAACGGAAAUUCGGUGUCUAAUUCAGGCAAUUCCGGGGAAAGGAAGUACCACAUGUAUUUUCAAAUCGACAACCAACCUCUGCAUUUAAUUGAAAAUUUAGAUUUUCAAACUUAUAUAAAAAUAAAAGAUGACAACACCGCAGCUCUGGAUUUCAUGAUGGAAUUACUAACCAGUCGCAAGUAUCCACUUCAAAAUCCUUCGCGGGAUAUUAUAUAUCGCAGUCUGGACGGAAUC